GAUUCACAACAGAACCGCAUCAACCGGCGCACCAUGAACCGAUUCCGGCGUUUCAUCUCUGACCAUGGACUGCAUGAUGUCUACCUGCAUGGUAGGCGCUAUACGUGGUCUAACGAGCAAGACAGUCCGACCCUCGUUCGCAACGAUCGUGUGCUAUGCACCCCUUCCUGGGAGCUUGACCGCGCGCACUGCCUUCUGCGCUGCCUCGCCUCCGUGGCUUCGGACCACUCCCCCCUUCUCCUCGACUGCGCUAUCAGGACUGUUGGUGGCAGGCGUUUCCACUUCCAGAGAUACUGGCCCUCCCUCGAUGGUUUCCACCAAACUGUGCAGACUGCCUGGCACUCGACAACUUCGGAACCAGAUCCCUUCAGGCGCGUUUUAGCUAAACUUUGGGCCACUGCGCGUAGCCUCCAAAGGUGGAAUUCCCGCUUCGCCUCUAAUCUCGCUGCCCAGCUGGGAGUGGCCCGUGAGCUCAUCGCUCGGUUCGACGAGGCCCAGGACACCCGACGCAUGUCCCGCGUCGAGAUUUGGCUCUAG
RNAcentral lists this ribosomal RNA (537 nucleotides) under Triticum aestivum (bread wheat). RNAcentral's name for it is "partial small subunit ribosomal RNA". Lineage: Eukaryota; Viridiplantae; Streptophyta; Magnoliopsida; Poales; Poaceae. The record is from RNAcentral.